GAUGAAGAACGUAGCGAAAUGCGAUAAGUAAUGUGAAUUGCAGAAUUCAGUGAAUCAUCGAAUCUUUGAACGCACAUUGCGCCCGCCAGUAUUCUGGCGGGCAUGCCUGUUCGAGUGUCAUUACAACCCUCAGGCCCCCGGGCCUGGCGUUGGGGAUCGGCGAGGCGCCCCCCGCGGGCACGCGCCGUCCCCCAAAUACAGUGGCGGUCCCGCCGCAGCUUCCAUUGCGUAGUAGCUAACGCCUCGCAACUGGAGAGCGGCGCGGCCAUGCCGUAAAACACCCAACUUCUGAAUGUUGACCUCGAAUCAGGUAGGAAUACCCGCUGAACUUAAGCAUAUCAAUAAGCGGAGGA
RNAcentral lists this unclassified non-coding RNA (353 nucleotides) under soil metagenome. RNAcentral's name for it is "partial contains 5.8S ribosomal RNA, internal transcribed spacer 2, and large subunit ribosomal RNA". The stretch from base 1 to 120 matches the Rfam family "5.8S ribosomal RNA", at positions 35 to 154 of the family's 154-position model. The record is from RNAcentral.